GCAACCUGUUUUCUCCGUCGUCAUCAAAGAUUUAGUAUAAAACGAGGCGUUUAUGGGACACAGGCAUCAGUUCAAUUUGAAAAUUGUUACAAUGAAAUUCUUUGCCUUCAUCACGUUGUUCGUGUGCGCCAUGUUGGCGCUGGCCAGCGGUGGACAGGUGUACUAUAGACAGGUGCGCAGCCCAGUUGUCGAGGACGCAGCGCCAGCACCAGGCCACCAUCACCACCACCACCAUUACGGAUACGGCUACGGAUACCACUGAUAUGGAAGUGAUUGGUUAUUGAUUGAUUAAAAGUUUCGUUAAGUUUACGAUUGGGAUAUUGUUUAGUAUGAGGUAUAAUAAUAAAGUAUUUUGUAGAUAA
Molecule: long non-coding RNA, 362 nt
Organism: Spodoptera litura
Lineage: Eukaryota; Metazoa; Arthropoda; Insecta; Lepidoptera; Noctuidae
Source: RefSeq, a predicted model, not a curated record